Non-coding RNA from Mugil cephalus (flathead mullet), 372 nucleotides. The record is from the annotation of a RefSeq genome assembly. NCBI's taxonomy places the organism in Eukaryota, Metazoa, Chordata, Actinopteri, Mugiliformes, Mugilidae.
AUGACUUUGAUCUGCGUCCUCAUCUGGACUCUCCUCUGCUGCUGCUUCACAGAGUCCAGAGGCCAGGUCACAGUGACUCAGCCUGGAUCAGUGAGGUCUGGUCUGGGAGGAACCGUCACCAUCAGAUGUAGAACCAGUCAGAAUAUUCAUGGAAACUAUUUAACCUGGUACCAGCAGAGAGAUGGAGGAAUUCCUAACCUUCUCAUUUAUCAAACUAGCACUAGAGAAUCAGGGAUUCCAGGUCGUUUUUCAGGCAGUGGAUCAAACUCUGACUUCACUCUGACUAUCAGUGGAGUCCAGACAGAAGAUGCAGCAGUUUAUUACUGUAUGGGUCAUCACUACAUCAACAGCAAAUACUCGUUCACACAGUGA